RNAcentral lists this ribosomal RNA (356 nucleotides) under uncultured Glomeromycotina. Its description in RNAcentral is "SSU rRNA". It matches the Rfam family "Eukaryotic small subunit ribosomal RNA", at positions 569 to 932 of the family's 1831-position model. The record is from RNAcentral. Lineage: Eukaryota; Fungi; Glomeromycota.
AGCAGCCGCGGUAAUUCCAGCUCCAAUAGCGUAUAUUAAAGUUGUUGCAGUUAAAAGCUCAUGGUUGAAUUUCGGGAUCAAUUAGUCGGUCGUGCCUCUGGUACGUACUGGUUUUAUUGGUUCCUCCCUUCUGACGAAACAUGAUGUCAUUAAUUUGGUGUCGUGGAGAAUCAGGACUGUUACCUUGAAAAAUUGAGUGUUUAUAGCAGGCUAACGCUUGAAUACAUUAGCAUGGAAUAAUGAAAUAGGACGUUCGACCCUAUUUUGUUGGUUUCUAGGAUCGACGUAAUGAUUAAUAGGGAUAGUUGGGGGCAUUAGUAUUCAAUUGUCAGAGGUGAAAUUCUUGGAUUUAUUGA